GUAACACGGGCAGCUCGAGUGGUGUCCGCCUAUAUUGGGUCUAAAGCGUUCGUAGCCGGCCUUACAAGUCUUGGUGAAAGCUCAUAGCUUAACUAUGAGAGUUGCUAAGNAAAACUGUAAGGCUAGGGGCCGGGAGAGGUCAGAGGUACUCCUGGGGUAUGAGUGAAAUCCAAUAAUCCUAGGAGGACCGACGGUGGCGAAAGCUUCUGACUAGAACGGACCCGACGGUGAGGAACAAAGGCUGAGGGAGCAACCCGGAUUAGAUACCCGGUUAGUCUCAGCUGUAAAUGAUGUUGAUUAGGUGGUGCGUGACCCAUGUGGUUACGCACGGCCGCAGGGAAGCCGUUAAACCAACCACCUGGGAAGUACGGUCGCAAGGCUGAAACUUAAAGGAAUUGGCGGGGGAGUACUACAAGGGGUGGAGGCUGCGGUUUAAUCAGAUACAACGCUGGACAACUCACCAGGGAAGACGGCCGAAUGAUGGUCAGUCUGAAGGGCUUACCUAACCAGCCAAGAGGUAGUGCAUGGUCAUCGUCAGCUCGUGCCGCGAGGUGUCCCGUUAAGUCAGGCAACGAGCGAGAUCCACACCCUCAGUUGCUAGUUCUCUUGUUUGAGAGAACGCACUCUAAGGGGACUGCCAGUGAUAAGCUGGAGGAAGGAGUGGGCGACGAUAGAUCCGUAUGCUCCGAAUUUCCUGGGCUACACGCGGCCUACAUUGCGACGGACAGAGGGAUGCUACCCCGAAAGGGGACGCUAAACCCUAAACCGUUGCCCGGUUCGGAUUGAGGACUGGAAUUCGUCCUCAUGAAGCUGAAAUCCCUAGUAAUCGCGUGUCACUACACGCGG
Molecule: ribosomal RNA, 846 nt
Filed under: uncultured archaeon
Lineage: Archaea
Description: bacterial SSU rRNA
Rfam family: Archaeal small subunit ribosomal RNA
Source: RNAcentral